Long non-coding RNA from Dreissena polymorpha, 750 nucleotides. RefSeq lists it as uncharacterized. The record is from RefSeq and is a predicted model, not a curated record. Lineage: Eukaryota; Metazoa; Mollusca; Bivalvia; Myida; Dreissenidae. The transcript is spliced from 3 exons.
CUUUCACUGAUUGGUGGAGCAAAUACGAAGCAGGCUGUGCAGAACAUAUUAGAAAGAUUGAUGUCUAAUAGACUGAUGUCUAAAUUCAACUCAAAGGGAGUUAAAGGGAAGCUAUCGUUUGAAUCAUCAGAGACAUUCAAAGUUGUAAUUGCUAGUGCCAUGAAGGGAAACAAUGAUAUUACAGAACACCAAGUCAAGGAAGUUAUCAGCUACCACCUGAAAUACGCCCCAUACAGGAAAGGAGGUGGAAAAAGAUACCUUGACAAUAAUCAAUAAUUUUUUUUAAUGACAUGCUAAGGAUGCCUCACGCUUAGGACCUGCGGAUAAAUGUUUUGUGGCUUAUCCCAUUACCAAACAAUAACGGGAUUUUACGGGAUUGUUGCAGACGAAUCUUGAAAUAAUAGUGAUACAAGGAGAAAUUGCUCAUGAUGAACAAUUUCUCCUUUGAUCACAAUGAUUUCUUCCCUACCACAUUAAUUUCUCCAUAUUCCAUUACAAUUUUGUUAGCCUUCCAAAACCUCUUUCAAUUUCUGAGUGUCCAAAAUUUGCCAUUUGGUAAAGGGUUAAAGUGCUUAUUGGUAUGAAGGAUUAAUGAAGCUGUACAACAAUCUUUUACACAUUUAAUUUCACCGAUUUCUCGAUAUCUUUUAACCCUGUUUAAACAUUUAUUCAUGAUUUUCAUGUAAUGACGAACACUGUUUAAUAGUUUUGUAUUAAAUAUGAUAUUGCAAGACAAUUACAAAUGCCAUC